AACGUACGCUGGCGGCACGCCUAACACAUGCAAGUCGAACGAAGUAGCAAUACUUAGUGGCAGACGGGUGAGUAACAUGUAGGUAUCUGCCCUUUGGCCUGGAAUAACACGAGGAAACUUGUGCUAAUACCGGAUAAGUCUUUACGGAGAAAGCUUUAUGCACCAUUGGAUGAGCCUGCACUUGAUUAGUUUGUUGGUGGGGUAAUGGCCUACCAAGACUGUGAUCAAUAGCUGAUUUGAGAGGAUGAUCAGCCACAUUGGGACUGAGACACGGCCCGAACUCCUACGGGAGGCAGCAGUGGGGAAUCUUGCACAAUGGAGGAAACUCUGAUGCAGCGAUGCCGCGUGAGUGAAGAAGGCCCUUGGGUUGUAAAGCUCUUUCGUCGGGGAAGAAAAUGACUGUACCCGAAUAAGAAGGUCCGGCUAACUUCGUGCCAGCAGCCGCGGUAAUACGAAGGGACCUAGCGUAGUUCGGGAUUACUGGGCUUAAAGAGUUCGUAGGUGGUUGAAAAAGUUAGUGGUGAAAUCCCAGAGCUUAACUCUGGAACUGCCAUUAAAACUUUUCAGCUAGAGUAUGAUAGAGGAAAGCAGAAUUUCUAGUGUAGAGGUGAAAUUCGUAGAUAUUAGAAAGAAUACCAAUUGCGAAGGCAGCUUUCUGGAUCAUUACUGACACUGAGGAACGAAAGCAUGGGUAGCGAAGAGGAUUAGAUACCCUCGUAGUCCAUGCCGUAAACGAUGUGUGUUAGAUGCUGGAAAUUUAUUUUCAGUGUCGCAGGGAAACCGAUAAACACACCGCCUGGGGAGUACGACCGCAAGGUUAAAACUCAAAUGAAUUGACGGGGACCCGCACAAGUAGUGGAGCAUGUGGUUUAAUUCGAAGAUACGCGCAGAACCUUACCAACACUUGACAUGUUCGUCGCGACUCUAAGAGAUUAGAGUUUUCGGUUCGGCCGGACGAAACACAGGUGCUGCAUGGCUGUCGUCAGCUCGUGUCGUGAGAUGUUGGGUUAAGUCCCGCAACGAGCGCAACCCUCACUUUUAGUUGCCAUCAUUAAGUUGGGCACUCUGAAAGAACUGCCAGUGAUAAGCUGGAGGAAGGUGGGGAUGACGUCAAGUCCUCAUGGCCCUUACGUGUUGGGCUACACACGUGCUACAAUGGUAUCUACAACAGGAAGCAAGACUGCGAAGUUAAGCAAAUCCCUAAAAGAUACCUCAGUUCGGAUUGCACUCUGCAACUCGAGUGCAUGAAGCUGGAAUUACUAGUAAUCGUGGAUCAGCGUGCCACGGUGAAUGCGUUCCCGGGUCU
This 1306-nucleotide ribosomal RNA is filed under the name uncultured bacterium. Its description in RNAcentral is "bacterial SSU rRNA". It matches the Rfam family "Bacterial small subunit ribosomal RNA", at positions 28 to 1381 of the family's 1533-position model. The record is from RNAcentral.